UUAGGGUUUCCACCGAAAAUAAAAAACAGUUCCUUUAGAACGUCCCCCCCCCCCCGGUCUUUUCCUCUCAAAUCAAUUCGUCGAGACUUACUGGAAAUCCAAAGAACUCUCUUACAUUGAUCUAAAGAAGGAGAGUUAAUUUAGUUAUGUCUGGAAGAAAUCGUGGACCACCUCCUCUUCCAAUGAAAGGUCCUCCUCAUCCCGGACUACGGCCUCCAGUACAUGAACCUCCAUAUGCAAGAGGGCUAGGACCAAUCCCCCCACACCCUGCCUUACUUGAUGAAUUGCGAGAAAACCAAUUUGGGUUGGGUCCUAGAGGCCUCCCUCCUCACCCUGCCAUCUUUGAGGAGCGUCUUGCAGCUCAAUUGCAAGAGAUUCAAGGCCUCCUAGCAGAUAACCAGAGGCUGGCUGCGACUCAUGUUGCAUUAAAGCAAGAAUUGGAGGUUGCUCAGCAUGAGUUACAUCGCAUGGCUCAAUAUGCAGAUUCUUUGAGGGCGGAGAAGGAUGUUCAGAUGAAGGAGAUGUAUGAUAAGUCAGUUCGAUUGGAGGUUGAUCUUCGUGGGGUGGAGGCCAUGCGAGCUGAGCUUGGCAAGGUUAAUGCUGACAUUAAGCAGCUUAAUGCUGUGAGGCAGGAUCUUACAGGUCAGGCUCAAGUCAUGAGUCAAGAUUUGGCUAGAUUUACUGGAGAAUUGCAACAGGCUCCUGCGUUGAAGGCAGAGAUUGAAAAUGUGAAACAGGAACUGCAUCGUGCAAGAGCUGCCAUCGAGUACGAGAAGAAAGGAUAUGCUGAGAAUUAUGAACAUGGUCAAGUAAUGGAGAAAAAAUUGAUCUCAAUGGCUCGGGAGUUGGAAAAACUUCAUGCAGAGAUUGCAAAUGCAGGGAAGAGAAAUCAUGCUGCUGCUGGUAGUGGUGGUAAUCCUGUAGUAGCUGGUGCUGGUUAUAAUUCAAAUUAUGGGAACCCUGAAGCUGGAUGUACUGGAAACACUUAUCCUGUCACCUAUGGCUUUAAUCCUGGUGGUGUCGAUGGUUAUCCUCAGUAUGGACCUGCUGCUGGUGCCUGGGGUGCAUAUGACAUGCAGAGAGCUCAAGGACAUCGCUAAUGUGAUUUUUACAAUCAUGCUAAGAUGAUUCAUCUAGUUUACGGAUGAGAACCUGGCGAAUUUUCUGUUUUUGCAAUUAUCCAGUGAUGUUGGAGUUCCAAUAGAUAAAAAUAAACCUAGGAUAUUUCAAGAAGAGUUGCAGCAAGAUAGGAAAUAAUUAGAAGUUAAAGA
This is an RNA transcript of Hibiscus syriacus, 1271 nucleotides long. It is a transcript of the gene named protein FLX-like 1, with no coding region annotated. The transcript has 7 exons. The record is from RefSeq and is a predicted model, not a curated record. NCBI's taxonomy places the organism in Eukaryota, Viridiplantae, Streptophyta, Magnoliopsida, Malvales, Malvaceae.